CAGUAGCCGCGGUAAAACGGAGGGAGCUAGCGUUGUUCGGAAUUACUGGGCGUAAAGCGCACGUAGGCGGCUAUUCAAGUCAGGGGUGAAAGCCCGGAGCUCAACCCCGGAACUGCCUUUGAAACUAGAUAGCUUGAAUCUUGGAGAGGCGAGUGGAAUUCCGAGUGUAGAGGUGAAAUUCGUAGAUAUUCGGAAGAACACCAGUGGCGAAGGCGACUCGCUGGACAAGUAUUGACGCUGAGGUGCGAAGCGUGGGGAGCAAACAGGAUUAGAUACCCCCGUAGUCCCUGUCUCUUAUACA
RNAcentral lists this ribosomal RNA (301 nucleotides) under uncultured bacterium. RNAcentral's name for it is "partial 16S ribosomal RNA". It matches the Rfam family "Bacterial small subunit ribosomal RNA", at positions 509 to 808 of the family's 1533-position model. The record is from RNAcentral.